UAUCUGAAAACAAUGGCCAAGGGAACAACAAUGUGCAACAAAGAUCUCUGGUUUGUGGUCCAUGUUGGAGUAAUGCUUCUGACGGUAGCAGCCACAAUCAUUGCUUUCAUCCUCAUUUUCGCUCAUACUCGGGACUGGUCUGGGGGAGCACAUCCAGUGUUGGGUUGUCUGGUUAUGAUCCUCUCCUUCUUCCAGCCUAUAGUGGCUAUGCUGCGCUGCGG
Molecule: non-coding RNA, 221 nt
Organism: Maylandia zebra (zebra mbuna)
Lineage: Eukaryota; Metazoa; Chordata; Actinopteri; Cichliformes; Cichlidae
Source: RefSeq, a predicted model, not a curated record